Molecule: ribosomal RNA, 486 nt
Filed under: uncultured bacterium
Lineage: Bacteria
Description: partial 16S ribosomal RNA
Rfam family: Bacterial small subunit ribosomal RNA
Source: RNAcentral
AUUGAACGCUGGCGGCAUGCCUUACACAUGCAAGUCGAACGGCAGCACGGGUGCUUGCACCUGGUGGCGAGUGGCGAACGGGUGAGUAAUACAUCGGAACAUGUCCUGUAGUGGGGGAUAGCCCGGCGAAAGCCGGAUUAAUACCGCAUACGAUCUACGGAUGACAGCGGGGGACCUUCGGACCUCGCGCUAUAGGGUUGGCCGAUGGCUGAUUAGCUAGUUGGGGGGGUAAAGGCCUACCAAGGCGACGAUCAGUAGCUGGUCUGAGAGGACGACCAGCCACACUGGGACUGAGACACGGCCCAGACUCCUACGGGAGGCAGCAGUGGGGAAUUUUGGACAAUGGGCGAAAGCCUGAUCCAGCAAUGCCGCGUGUGUGAAGAAGGCCUUCGGGUUGUAAAGCACUUUUGUCCGGAAAGAAAUCCUUGGCCCUAAUACGGUCGGGGGAUGACGGUACCGGAAGAAUAAGCACCGGCUAACUACGUG